This 550-nucleotide ribosomal RNA is filed under the name uncultured bacterium. RNAcentral's name for it is "bacterial SSU rRNA". It matches the Rfam family "Bacterial small subunit ribosomal RNA", at positions 355 to 896 of the family's 1533-position model. The record is from RNAcentral.
UGGGGAAUCUUCCGCAAUGGACGAAAGUCUGACGGAGCAACGCCGCGUGAGUGAUGACGGCCUUCGGGUUGUAAAGCUCUGUUAAUCGGGACGAAUGGUUCUUGUGCAAAUAGUGCGAGGAUUUGACGGUACCGGAAUAGAAAGCCACGGCUAACUACGUGCCAGCAGCCGCGGUAAUACGUAGGUGGCAAGCGUUGUCCGGAAUUAUUGGGCGUAAAGCGCGCGCAGGCGGAUUGGUCAGUCUGUCUUAAAAGUUCGGGGCUUAACCCCGUGAUGGGAUGGAAACUGCCAAUCUAGAGUAUCGGAGAGGAAAGUGGAAUUCCUAGUGUAGCGGUGAAAUGCGUAGAUAUUAGGAAGAACACCAGUGGCGAAGGCGACUUUCUGGACGAAAACUGACGCUGAGGCGCGAAAGCCAGGGGAGCGAACGGGAUUAGAUACCCCGGUAGUCCUGGCCGUAAACGAUGGGUACUAGGUGUAGGAGGUAUCGACCCCUUCUGUGCCGGAGUUAACGCAAUAAGUACCCCGCCUGGGGAGUACGACCGCAAGGUUG